AGCAGAGUGGCUUAGUGGAAAGAGUGCAGGCCUGGAGAGUCACAAGAUCUGGGUUCUAAUUCCAGCUUUGCCA
Molecule: transfer RNA, 73 nt
Filed under: Ornithorhynchus anatinus (platypus)
Lineage: Eukaryota; Metazoa; Chordata; Mammalia; Monotremata; Ornithorhynchidae
Rfam family: tRNA
About the family: Transfer RNA (tRNA) molecules are approximately 80 nucleotides in length. Their secondary structure includes four short double-helical elements and three loops (D, anti-codon, and T loops). Further hydrogen bonds mediate the characteristic L-shaped molecular structure. tRNAs have two regions of fundamental functional importance: the anti-codon, which is responsible for specific mRNA codon recognition, and the 3' end, to which the tRNAs corresponding amino acid is attached (by aminoacyl-tRNA synthetases). tRNAs cope with the degeneracy of the genetic code in two manners: having more than one tRNA (with a specific anti-codon) for a particular amino acid; and 'wobble' base-pairing, i.e. permitting non-standard base-pairing at the 3rd anti-codon position.
Source: Rfam by way of RNAcentral